AAUUCCCUCGUCUCUCAAACUCUCUCUAAAGACCACUCGAAACCCUAGCCUUCUCCGCCGGUUUCCACCUUGUUUCACCGGAAUCCAUGGCGUCCCAAGCCCUGGGUAGCCUAUACUCACCCUCAUGUGCCCUCAUACCCCUUUUACUUGAAGAUUCAAGGUUCGAGCUUGAACGUAUUCGCUCAGAUCUCCGCCGAUUCGAGUGUUACGGCCAUCUCCGGCUCAACUCCGGCGUAUCCUAGCCCUAUGAGUCUAUCUCUGACUCGUUCGACUCGGACCAGCCCUUUUCCAGGCCUUUCUCGCUUCUAGGGUUCUUCUGAAACCCUAGCCUUUUGAGGUUUUCCUAUUUUCUCUAGAUCCGUUCUAGAUCCGUGUUAAUUUUAAGGUUUUCAAACGAUUCCUCUAAAUGUCUUCUAAAACUUUGCUUUCAAAACUGUUCAUCUUCUUCGACUUAGGGUUUUCUCUAAUUUUACUUGUCCUACUGAUAUUCCUAUGUGUUUUUACUGUAUUUGCUCUACUGUGUUUUCAUCUACCAUGCUUUCUUCUACCAUUGCUUUAUGAAUUCUUUUACAGUAUUUUGUUCCCUUAUUAUGUUUUCCGAAAAUGCUUAAGGUUUUAGUUCCUUUGGGUAUUUUGAACUUACUUCGUUAUUAAUUUGCCUGAUUUGUCUGCUUUCGUCUUUACACUUGAUCAAUGGCGGAAACCCUAGAAUUUGGGGGUUUUCAGACCACUUGUGUGUGACUUGUUUGCUUCCCAUGUCUGAACUAAUUUGAUUUCAAAACCCUAAUUUCCGAACUCAUCUUUGUUUCUCUAUGUGAUUCUGACUCUUGCUAAGCUUGGCAAGACCUUUUACAUGAUUUUUUUCAUGCCAUCUGAUGAUCCCCCUUACCUAAUAAUUCCAUACUCACUGAUUUGGUUGCAUGACACUUUUCUCUGUUCUGAAUCUAGCCUCGCAUGUUCAAAACAUAUGCACUCUUUAUAUGUAGAUUUUUCUUCUCAGAAUAACCUUUGAUUUGGGGAUUGAUUUCAGUCUGCCAUUGUGUGAACUUGAUUGAUUCCUUCCUUGUCUAAAUUGAACCUUCAUAUUCCAUUAUUUUCUGACUUGGUUCAUUAUUGAUUUCGAAUAUUCGAUUCCCUGAUUUACUAUGUAUUAGUUGAUUUACUUCUUGCCUUAUUUACUUAAACCGUGUGUUUUCAAACUUUCCCUUAUGUAUUUACCCCUUAUUUGCAUGCUGAGCGUGAUAUGCUACUUGAUUCCCUUUCUUUAAAUAGCUUCUGCCCUUUUACCGUUCAAAUUUGAACUCCUUAAUUAAAGGAAUUCCCCUCUAUUGAUUGUUUCUGAUUGAUACUUGAUUAUUUUCUUUUCUUGCUUACCUGCCUGGCUUCAAGUAUAAAUACAUACUCUUCUCUUAACACAAACACAAACUUCUGAAUUAAAAUAAACUACUACUACUCUCUCUACUACUACUCUUUCUACUACUGCUCUCUCUCUACUACUAAGCACCCUGCUCAUCUUCUCUUUGUUGCUGAAACAUUCUUGAGUUCUCAGGUGCUUGCUAAAGGUUUUGAGUCUGCUCCUGCUGACUUUCUGGCUAAUUACUUGCUUCUGUUUGUUCUGCUAUUCUGAAAUUUGCAACUGGUAUGUCUUCCUAGUUAAAUAACAUCACCUACAUUAUGUAUUUACUUCCCUCCUUCUAUUGUGCAUUCUCCAUUACAUACUCAUCCUAGUCUGUCAUGCUUUCUUUCAUUAUGUUCUGCACCUUUAAGGCUGUUACGCUUUCUUGCUUGCCUCAUAUUUUUGUAAACGCUUUCUUAUGUGAUUCCCUAUCCCUUUGACCCCCUUUUUGUGUGUGAGUGCAAUUCUGUGUCAUGGUGGCAUUCUAUUAUUGCCAACCAUGGCUUAGAACCAGGUUCUCUUGAGCCUCUAUUCAAAUCAAUUCCCAUUCCUUUCUCCCCCUUUAUGUGAUGAGCCAUGACUCAAGUCUGGUGGUGUCCUAAUCACCAUCCAAACCCAAGUCUGACUCUCUAAGAGUCUGCUCUUAUUUGUUUGAAUCUAAGCAAGGGGUCAGGGGUGUGCCAGUCUAUACCAUUGUUGGGUACGACCACUUGCUGUUGUGAUUCUCCCUCACUUUGCACUUACUCCUAGUUCUUAAGUUCUGCCCUCCUUGGGUAAGCCAUGCUUUGGGACCCUGGAGCUCCCUCUGAACUUGGAUGCCCGAGGGCUGGCACUUUCACACUGCACUAUUCUGUUACUAAAUGGUUAUUCAGAGUGUAAGCAUUGCCUGGAGCUCUUAAGGCUCCUUGGAAGUUUGAAACACUCUGAGUAAGAGAAGGCCUUGGAAUCUGGGAUCCGGAUUUGGUGAAACACAUGUAUUGGAUAUUGAGAUUGAAUUAGGCUGCUCGGAUCUAGCUGUAGUCUGUGGUGUAUUUUUGUUUACUUUCCUUCUUCUGGUUCUGUAAUAAUCUUGUAAAAAGAACUCGGGGAAAAUAUUAGUAAAGGGUGUGGGAGGGGUUUAUAUUUACUUGCAUAUGAUAAAGGGUAGAUACUAUGCCUAUAGGAUCAAUAUUGUUGUUUAAUCACUUAGAUAUCAUGUCUAUAGGUUAAACGUUUCAAUCACCUAGAGACCACGUCUAUAGGAUUUUGCAUUCCUUUCAUUCAAUGAUAUAGAAAUCAUGUCUAUAAGAUUUAAUAUCGCAAAAUCAGUAGAAAUCCUGCCUAUAGGACCUACUCGUCAAAUAACCCGUUGCAUAUAGAAAUCAUGCCUAUAGGAAAUGCAUAAACGUUAGGCAAACUGUAGGGUAAGUUUUUUUAACAGUUUAAUAAUAAUAAAAGCCAAGGUAUAGAUAUCCUACCUAUAGGGUUCAAACUCGCCUAAUCUGUACAAGCAAUAAUCUAGAAAUUGGCUUCAACGUUUUCAACAAACUCGUACCAAUCUGUUUAUUGCGAAACUCUUACAAGUCCGCAAAGUCCUUAAAUUUUCUAAACUUGUAUCUUUUUUUUUGCAGAAAUGGUUUUCAACCUUCUGCCUGAAUUCUCAUUUCAUGAAGCUACUAUUUCGAAACAGUAUUUAACGCACUCUUACUUUUAAGGUCUCUUCACUUUCGAAACCCUUCUUAAUAACUCUACUGUAUUUUUUACUUCUGAUUUUAAAGCCAUCUCUGAACUUCUGCAAUUUUCAAUCUGCUGUUUUAAACUCUUCUGCAUUAGGUUCUUGAUCGGUAACCUGUUUAAAAAUACCUCAAUUUCUGACAAUUGGAUCCGAGUUGCCUAAUGCAGACCUUUUAUCUAAUUCUAUGUGUUAAACUGAUUUGUCUGCCGCUUUAUUUUAAAAACUAAACCAGUAUAUGCAAGAUAUGCUAAACUAAUUGCUAUGUGAUUUAUGGGGUUUGUAUGAGCCUUUUGAGUAUUUGUUUCCCAUUUAUAUGCUAUUUGUUUUGAUUGACGCCUAGUAUUUGUCCUUUUAAAACCCCAUAUAUGCCUCUACCCCCUUUUUUUCUCUUUAGGAUUAGAAGUCCUAAUACCCCGGGACUAAUAGGUUGGGGCGGGUACUAGCAUGCAAUAAGCAAAACGAGACUAAUCACGUUUAAAUACCUUAAUGGGGUGGGAAGGGUAGAAUAUGGAGAUGAUGACGGUGCGCUAAUAUCUCGUGUGAGAAUGAUCGCUGGGUAUUGCACCAAAGUGAUCCAUAUUGUAUUUAAACCUAGGACCCCUCUUCUCCUUCUUUAGUUAUUGAUGUUUUCUUAAAUUAAUGUUUUCUUCAACUAAGCUUUCUCUUUUUCAAAAUCACUUGUGUCUUUCUUCUUUCAAAAUUUUUUCAACUUGUUUAUAUUUUCUAAUGUGCAAACUUUGCUUGUUUAUUCCUACUCUUCUUAAAGUCACAACUAAGCACGACCGGGAACCACACUAGUGGAUCUUGAGGGGUGCCUAACACCUUCCCCUUGAGAUAAUCUCAAGCCCUUACCCGAACUCUGGUUUAUCUUUCAAAAAUCUUCUCUUCUUUAAAAGUGUCCUAAUGCACUAUAAUCAUUAGGUAGUGACUCUUCAAAUUCUAUAACCCGAUUCAUCGAAAGGGGAAUAAGAGUUGUUUUGUCCAUAAUAUCGUAAACCCGAUUUCGCCUUCCUUCAGGGAGGGAAAAAGGGGGCGUCGACAGCAUGGAGACUCUGCUGGAGAUUUCUUUAAGGCUUUUACCAUUACGUGCUUCUAUGACUUUAUUGCUUCCUUUAUUGCCUUUAUUUCCUGCUUUUAAUCAUUUCUUCAUGAAUACUAACUUGGCUCUUCGUGUUUUCUUUUCCUUUUACUGCUUUACCGUUAUCUCAAUUCCGUUUUUAUUUCCAAGCAUUUAUUAUAAUCUUUACUUUAUGAACGUGAAAAUACAUGCAAUUUGUUUCAUUAUUGUAACUGCAUUCCUCAACAUCAUAUUCUACUCGUGCAAAAACAAAUCCUAUAGAAACGCUUAUAAUGAGUGGUUGCGCCCUUCUGAUAUCAUAACCCCUAAAUGUGGCAAAGGCAUAUUUACGGUAAAACCAGUCGAUCAACGGUGUAGUCGACGGUUCCGCGCCUUUCCCUCUUGAGUUGUCCGCUCAAGGGUACCUUGUCUAGCACUUCAAAAGUAGAAACCUUACUCCAUUAAACUGUUCAUGCAUCAUGGUCAAACUUAGCCGAGUCAGUUAUGUUGUUCGUGUAAUGACUCAUUAAGAUAGCCUAAACCGAAGUCCAUCGGGUUUCCUCGAAACCCAAACGGACACCCCCACGUUAUGUGUAUUUAUUUGAAGAACUAAAUGCCCUUUUUGCUAAUUAUUGAUUUAAAUAGUCGAGUCUGGUAGGGGUUAAGGGCCUGACAUUUUGUUUUGCAGAAAAUGAGGCACGAAGUCCCCAGAUUCGGUAUGGUAUCCAACAUCCACCCAAGGUUGCUAAGCUGGUGGGAAGAUCUUCAUGGCAGUGAUCAAACCCUCGUCCGCAAGUACUUAGGGAAUUUGCCCUCACUUCUGGAAAUCCAACCCAACAACAAGAUCAUUGAGGCUGCCACUUUGUUUUGGGAUAGUGAUCGAUCAGUGUUCCAUUUCGGAGACUUGGAAAUGACCCCUCUUCUAGAAGAGAUAAGGGGCCUAGCUGGUAUCCCUUGGGAGGCUCCGGGUUUGCUUAUGCCGGAGAAUCGCAAAAGUAGAGGCUUUCUUAAGAUGAUGGGACUCAAGAAAAAUCCUGACCUUUCUUGCUUGAAGGACUCUUACAUACCAUUCGACUUCUUAUACGAGAGAUAUGGCCACAACAAGUCCUAUCGCACCUACAUGGACGAAUUCGCCCUCACCUCUUUGGGACAUAUACAUAGAAGGGUAUUUGUAUUCAUGUUUUGCUUCUUGGGCAUGAUAAUUUCCCUAUGAAGAAGGCUAGGAUCUAUACUAGACUAGCCAUGGUGACCAAGACCUUAAUGGAGGGAAUCGACGGGCGGUCUUUCAACAUAGUACCUAUGAUCAUCGCAGAAAUCUAUCGAUCCUUGGGAAAGUGUCAGCAAGGGGCUUCACAUUUCGAGGGUUGUAAUCUGCUACUUCAACUAUGGCUCAUAGAACACCUCCAGAAAGGCGUCUACAGAAAAGAAAUCAUACGCAGGGAUUGGGAUGACCAUAUCGCUUUUCAUCACCCAAAGCGAAUAGACUUCAUGCCCAACAUGUUCGCUCAGCCAGAGGACGCUAGUGGAUGGGUAGAGUUGUUCGAGAAUCUAAAAGAAGAGCAAAUUCAGUGGAUGUUCGAGUGGUUCCCAACAGGGGAGUUCAUUAUCCGCUCUUGAGACGCACCAUUACUCAUACUCAUUGGCUUGAGGGGAACUCAUCCUUACGUCCCCCUCCGAGUCAUGAGGCAAGCCGGAAGGAAACAAAUUAUACCCAGGAUAGAGAAAAUGAGUCAUUUCAGGGCUGACUUUGAAGAUGAUGAUAGCCCGCACAGGUGUCACGCUCAGCAUAUAUGGCACUGCAAGCUCAUUUUAGGGAAGGAGUCUAUUGAACCAGACAGGUAUCGUGCCGGGUGUGUGCCGCACUACACAGGUUGGUUGGAAGAUGAUCACAUUGGCUUGGGUCACCCAGGGUUUGUCCAUGGUCAUAGGCUUAUUGAUGAAAAGACUGCAUCAAAGGUUAAAUACAAUCAACUGCGCAAAAGGAUACGGGAAUGCGAGAACGAGCAUCGGGAAAUACAAGAAGCCCACGAGAAGAUGAUCAACGAGUGGAAGGAUAUGGAUGUCAACGCCAACAACCGACUGGGGUAUCUAGAACGAGGCUUAGUGGAAUUGGAAGGUAAAUUUCUGAAGAGAUCGACGAUUGUCAGAAUACUGAGGGUAAUGAAGGUGGGCACCUGGCCCGAGCUUACUUGUUGCUGAGACUGCGCGAGUUGGUGCAGCUGUACGAGGGAGGCGAGAAUACCGAAUCUGGGGAAGGUCCUUCUGGGACCAAGUAGUUAGGAUUUUUUACUCUUCUGCUUUGUAAUAAGGCCACUGGCCAUUAGUGACAUCUUUUAUUAUUCAGUUGUUUUUUUUGACUCGUCUUAUUUUUUUAUCAAUAAAAUGAAGCAUUUAGCAUUAUAAGUUCUCCAAAUUAAUUUUUCGCUAGGCUUACCUCGGGCACAACGAGGCACCCAGAUUAGGAAGCGAUUUAUAUUCUUGCACAAUGUGUUUAAAUAUUUCAAUAUUAUUUAUCAGAAUCCGCACUAACAUUUUACCUUUUUGUUUUUCUUUUAUUUUAUUCCCCUCCCCAAAGGUUAGUUCAUGCAUUCUGGCACCAUUAGCAUACUCAACAAGAUCCAACGGUCCUCCACCUCCUCCUCCUCCAGGUCCUCCCAGAAACAGGAACAAGGGUAGAAUGGAAGAUACCGGUGCUAAAAAGGAAAUCAGAGAGACUUCAAUCACCAAGGAAACUACUGCUCAUCUUGAGCAAACUUUGCUAAGGUUCCGGGAAGAGUUGGAACAAGUCCGGAACUUGACAAGUCUGUCAAUCACUCUUGCUGCCGUUGAUGCCAACAAAUCACCGCCACCACCACCAGCCCAACCUGCUCAUACCCGAGCCCGCAACGUAUGCAACAGUACUCCCCCGCUCAUCCCUGAGCCCCAGAACAUCACAAAAGACCCUGACACUCCAAUCUUUGUGGACACUAUGCCACAUUACAGUCAGCCAAUCGCUAGUGCAAUCGAGUCAGAUGACAAUAGCUCCCUCAUUCAGAAUUUGGCCGUUGAAGUCAAGAAGUUGACUAGCCGGGUCCAAGGUUUCGAAGGUAACAAAGGUGUUGAAAGGUUGAAUUAUGAAGAUCUCUAUGUCCAGCCAGAUGUUGAGUUCCCGGAGGGGUACAAACCUCCCAAGUUCAAACUAUUUGAUGGAACAGGCGACCCCAGGAUCCACCUGAGAAUGUAUUGUGACAAGUUGGUAGGAGUCGGAAGGGACGAGAAGAUCCGCAUGAAGCUGUUCAUGAGGAGUUUGAAGGGUGAUGCUUUAUCCUGGUAUAUUAGCCAAGAUGCGAAGAAAUGGACUAGUUGGGUGAGCAUGGCAUCUGACUUUAUAGAUCGGUUUAGGUUCAACAAUGAGAACGCACCCGAUGUGUUCUAUAUCCAGAAUCUGAAGAAGAAACCCGCAGAGACCUUUCACGAGUAUGCUACGUGUUGGAGGUCAGAAGCUGCUAAGGUCAGACCGGCCUUGGAGGAAGAACAAAUGAACAGGUUUUUCGUCCGUGCUCAGGAUCCGCAGUAUUACGAGAGGCUGAUUCUAAUAGAGGGCCAAAAGUUCUCCGACAUCAUCAAGUUGGGAGAAAGAAUCGAAGAAGGCAUCAAAAGUGGUAUGGUCACUAACCUCGAGGCAGUGCAAGCUACCAACAAGGCUUUACAGUCUGGUGGCUCGUCAAAGAAAAAGGAUGUGAAUUCUGUAAUGGCUGCGCAAAGGAGCAACUCCCCUAUGAAGUACCAAACCUAUCCCUCAGCUCCACUCACAUAUCAACCUACCCUAAAUUACCAAGCACCAUCACCCACUUGCCAAAUGCCACCACCUGCUUACCAAUCACCUCCACCACCUACGUAUCAACCCACUUUACAUAGAUAUUCCCAACCCACACCCGUAUAGCAAGCAUGUAACUCCUAACCUUCUCACUACCCAUCACCUCCUACCUGCCAAAACUUCCCUCUACCUAGACCAAACUUCGACCGCAAACCUCCCAAACAAUAUACCGCCAUUGCUGAACCAAUUGACCAACUAUAUGAAAGACUCAAAGCAGUCGGUUAUGUUACCCCUAUCCCUUCCAUAACUCCAAAAAAUACCUCAUAGUGGAUCAACCCAAACAAGACUUGCACAUACCAUUCCGGGAUGAAAGCCAUACCAUCGACGAGUGUCGCUCGUUGAAAGACAAGAUUCAGAAUCUGAUUGACAACAAGAUUAUUAUAGCAAAGGAGCCCACUCCUAAUGUCCUCAACAACCCUCUGCCUGACCAUAAGGGUGGAGGCAUCCACAUGAUCGAGAUCGAAGAUGAUUGGAACCCCAAGGGGUCAAUCGGUUUGAUAGUUGAAGGAGACGAGCCUAAGAAGCCAACAGUUACUCUCAAUCCCAUUGUUGUCCAGAUUCAGCCCUCUGAGAGCGAUGUGGUAAAUGUGUCCGUACCACUCGAGUUUGAAGCACCUCUUGCAAAGGUGCCAAAACCAAUUGAGGUUGAGUUCGGGGUUCCAAAGGCGCCUACACCAUUUGAAGUUACUGUGUUACCUCCCAAGGCACCAACUCCAGUCUCCAUGACAGAUGUAACCCCGUUCAAGACAAAUGCUAUACCUUGGGAUUACACCGCUGAGGCUAGAAGGAAGGGAAAUACAUAUACUGGGGAAGCAAUUGCCGCACAGGGCAUAACCAGGAUAGGCAGGGUAUACACCCCGGAACACUUGGCUAAGUCCAGCAAGCAGGCCUCCGGGUGGGCUAUUGAAACUGGACCCGAUGACCUUUGGAGGAAGGUACAGGCCAAAGAGUACUCGGUCGUCGAGCAACUGAACAAAACGCCAGCACAAAUUUCUAUUCUGGCUCUUCUACAAAGCUCUGAGGCACAUAAAAAUGCCUUAAUGAAAAUACUGAGUGAAGCUUAUGUUCCCAACUACAUAACAGGAGGCGAAAUAGCAAAUAUGGUGCGGCAGAUACUGGAAAGCCAUAAGAUCACCUUCCAUGAAGACGAAUUAGCACCGGAAGGGAUUGGUCACAACAAAUCGUUGCACAUCACCGCGCAAUGCGAGGAUCACUUUAUCACCAGGAUUCUAGUCGACGGAGGAUCCAGCCUCAACAUUUGUCCAUUGGUAACUCUCAGGACAUUGGGUAAGGGAUUGCACGAGAUCAAAGACGGGGCUAUCAGUGUCAAAGAUUUUGAUGGAUCUCAGAGGUCCACCAUUGGAGAAAUUAUCUUAUGCCUACAAAUGGGACCCACCUGGUUUGAUGUCGAGUUCCAAGUCAUUGACGUACCAGCAUCCUACAAUUUGUUUCUAGGACGACCCUGGAUCCAUGCCGCUGGGGCUGUGGCGUCAACUUUGCAUCGGGAUAUAAAAUUUGAAUGGAAUCAUCAGGAAGUAAUCAUCCAUGGCGACGGUAGCAACCCUAAAUAUAGUCGCCAGGCCAUCCCAAUGAUCGGGGGUAGAAGGAAAAUCGGUGGAGAAACAUACCAUCACAUCGAGCGGGUCAACACCAUAGACAAAGACAAAUGGUGGGAUAACAAAAUUGAGAGCAUUCUGAAUUGGAGUGGAUACGAGCCCGAAAAGUGGCUUGGCAAGAAUCUCUAGGGUAUCACCAAGCCUAUCCAGUUGAAGAAGCAUGGAACUACUUUUGGCCUGGGUUAUGAAUACACUUGGGAGGAGUUCAAUGACUGGUCGCCACCAUGGCGCGGUCCUUACUCCCCGCUGUAGCACCAUCUACCUCAGUUAGAGCAGACUUUUCAGCCAGCUGAUGUCAUAUAUGGAUUAGAGGAAGAUGAGACACUGGCAGCAAUGAAGAACCUGUUUCUGGAGGAUAAUAUGGAUUACUGUGUUAUCUUCGAGUAGGAAAGGGAGGAGGGCCUUUCCAUUCAAGCUGUGAACCGAGGAGAACACCUCACCAAUUGGUCAAUUAGGACUACCAGUGCCCGGAGAGCCUCGGGGUAGCAAGGCUAAAUGACGCAUACGCAUCGCACUUUACUUUUAGUUGAUUUUACUUCUCCGCAUUGUCUUUACUUUUGAAAAGAGCUCCGAUGUUUUAAACGAUUAUGAAAAGCAUUUUCCAAGUUUAUCUUUAUAUUUCUCUCUCAUUUAUUUUCUCUACCAUUUACUUUAUUUUACACAGCAUCACUAUUACAUAUCUUGAUGAUGAACCAAUGACUGUGACUUGUAACGAGACAGUGCGACAAACGGACAUAGAUUCAGAAGAGGACGAAAUACCAGAAGAGGUUGUCAGGGAGGUCAAGAAUUUUGAGAACAGGCCUAAGUCUAACUUAGACAAAACUGAGGUCAUUAAUUUGGGGGAUGCAGAAAAUGUCAAGGAAACACGUAUCAGCGUACACUUGUCACCAUCAAAAAAGGAAGAAUACACAGAGUUUUUGAAAGAAUAUGAAGAUAUAUUCGCUUGGUCGUAUGAUGAUAUGACCGGUCUCAGCACAUCCAUCGUGGCUCACAAGCUGCCGACAGAUCCGGCAUGCCCACCGGUCAAACAGAAACUCAAAAAAUUCAAACCAGACAUGAGUUUGAAAAUCAAAGAAGAAGUCACCAAGCAAGUCAAAGCCAGGGUUCUCAGAGUAGUAGAGUAUCCAACAUGGUUAGCCAACGUUGUGACGGUACCAAAAAAGAAUGGGAAGGUUAGAGUCUGUGUCGACUACCGGGAUCUCAACCGGGCCAGUCCUAAGGAUGAUUUCCCUUUACCAAAUAUACACAUACUGAUUGAUAACUACGCCAAACAUGAGCUCCAGUCGUUCGUCGAUUGUUUUGCUGGAUACCACCAGAUAUGGAUGGAUGAAGAAGAUGCAGAGAAAACGACAUUCAUCACGCUGUGGGGAAUGUACUAUUACAGAAUGAUGCCAUUCGGUUUAAAGAAUGCUGGUGCUACCUACAUGAGAGCCAUGAACACAAUCUUUCAUGAUAUGAUACAUAAAGAGAUCGAGGUGUAUGUGGACGACGUCAUCAUUAAAUCCAGGAAAGCUGCAGAUCACAUGGGAGAUUUGAGAAAAUUCUUCAAUAGACUGAGGAGAUACAACUUGAAACUGAAUCUCGCCAAGUGUGCAUUCGGGGUCCCAUCCGGAAAGUUAUUGGGUUUCAUUAUGAGCCGCCGGGGAAUAGAAUUGGACCCGUCAAAGGUCAAAGCCAUUCAAGAGUUGCCACCGCCAAAGAACAAGAAAGAUGUAAUGAGUUUUCUGGGAAGACUCAACUAUAUCAGCCGAUUCAUAGCUCAGUCCACUGUCAUUUGUGAACCCAUCUUCAAGAUGCUAAAAAAGGAUGCCGCCACUAAAUGGACUGAUGAUUUUCAAAAGGCCUUCGACAGAAUCAAGGAAUACUUGUCGACACCACUAGUCUUGGUUCCACCCGAGCCAGGGAAACCCCUAUUGCUUUAUCUUGCAGUGUUGGAUGGGGCAUUUGGUUGUGUUUUGGGACAACAUGACGAGACGGGAAGAAAGGAGCAAGCCAUCUACUACCUCAGCAAGAAAUUUGCCCCAUACGAGGCUCGAUAUUCUCUUUUAGAACGCACUUGUUGUGCUCUAACCUGGGUGGCUCAGAAAUUGAGGCACUAUUUCUGUGCUUACACCACUUAUCUCAUAUCCAAGAUGGAUCCAUUGAAGUAUAUCUUUCAGAAGCCCAUGCCUACUGGCAAGCUCGCCAAGUGGCAGAUACUGUAAAGUGAGUUUGACAUCGUUUAUGUUACCCAGAAGGCGGUCAAAGGACAAGCCUUGGAAGAUCACCUCACCGAGAAUCCUAUAGGAGGAGAAUACGAACCUCUAAAGACGUAUUUUCCUGAUGAGGAGAUAGACUUCAUUGGAGAAGACAUUGCAGAAUCCUACGACGGCUGAAGGAUGUUUUUCGACGGAGCCGCAAAUUUCAAAGGAGUUGGUAUAGGAGCGGUUUUGGUAUCAAAAAUCGGUCAGCAUUACCCAGUAUCUGCCAAGCUCAGAUUCCCGUGCACCAACAACAUGGCCGAGUACGAAGCCUGCAUCUUAGGGCUCAAGUUGGCAAUUGACAUGAACAUUAAGGAACUAUUAGUGAUCGGAGAUUCGGACGUACUCAUACAUCAGGUUUGAGAAGAAUGGGCAACCAAGAAUUCCAAAAUACUCCCCUAUAUGCAUCACGCACAGGAGUUGAGGAAAAGAUUCAGAAAGACGGAAUUCCAGCAUGUUCCUAGAAUACAGAAUGAGUUCGCCGAUGCCUUAGCCACUUUAUCAUCUAUGAUUCAGCAUCCCGAUACAAACUUUAUUGACCCCAUCCAGGUCAAGAUUCACGACCAACCAUCUUAUUGUGCUCACAUCGAGGAAGAGGCCGACGGGAAACCUUGGUUCCACGAUAUCAGAGAAUACCUGACAACAGAAGAGUACCCAAAGCUUGCCAAUGCUACUCAGGAAUGAACACUUCGGAAAUUGUCCAACAACUUCUUUCACAGCGGAGGAGUCCUGUAUAGGAGGACUCCCGAUAUGGGAUUUUUAAGAUAUGUCGAGGCAAGAGAAGCAACCAAACUAUUGGAGGAAGUGCACGCAGGGACCUGUGGACCGCAUAUGAAUGGUUUCGUUUUGGCAAAGAAGAUACUCCGAGCAGGGUAUUUUUGGAUGACUAUGGAAAUAGACUGCAUCCAGUACGUCCGAAAAUGCCACCGUUGUCAAAUACAUGCAGAUAUGAUAAAUGUACCUCCAAAUGAGCUUACUGCAACAAGCUCACCAUGACCGUUCGCCGCUUGGGGAAUGGAUGUCAUUGGAUUUGAACCAGCCGCAUAAAAUGGGCACAGGUUUAUCCUAGUGGCAAUUGAUUACUUUACCAAAUGGGUUGAAGCAGCAUUAUACAAGGCAGUCACCAAGAAAGUAGUAGCAGAUUUCGUCCGAGAUCGUAUGGUUUGUCGGUUCGGGGUUCCGGAAUCAAUCAUUACCGACAACGGUUCUAAUCUUAACAGCGGCCUGAUGAAGGCAAUGUGCAAAACAUUCAAGAUUAAACACAAGAACUCCACGGCUUGCAGACCUCAAAUGAAUGGAGUUGUAGAAGCAGCCAAUAAGAACAUCAAGAAGAUAUUAAGGAAGAUGAUCGAAAAGCACAAGCAGUGGCAUGAAAAGCUGUCGUUCACCUUACUGGGUUAUCGUACCAUGGUCCGCACAUCAACCGGGGCCACUCCUUACAUGCUGGUUUAUGGCAUGGAGGUGGUUAUCCCCGUCGAAGUAGAAAUUCCCUCCUUAAGGGUCAUACAAAAAGCAGAAUUAGAUGAUGCAGAAUGGGUCAAGAAUCGCUACGAGCAGUAAGCCCUCAUAGAUGGAAAAAGGAUGAAUGCUGUCUGUCACGGUCAAUUAUAUCAGAACAGAAUGGCCAGAGCCUUCAACAAGAGAGUCAAGCCAAGGAAGUUCACGCCAGGGCAGUUAGUAUUGAAGAAGAUAUUUCCGCAUCAAGAUGAAGCCAAGGGAAAAUUCGCUCCUAAUUGGCAGGGUCUGUAUAUGGUGCAUCAGGUUCUAACCGGAGGAGCCCUUAUUCUCGCAGAAAUGGACGAAGAAGUCCGACCGAAGCCUAUCAACGCAGACGCAGUAAAGCGAUACUACAUUUGAUCAUAUGCUUUGCUUUCAUGAUGUAAUUUGAACUACGCCUGACCUGAUUCCCGUUUAAGAGGGGAUACGUAGGCAGCCCUAUGGGUUCGGUCACAUUUUAAUAAGAAUCCCAUUUUCCCCCGCUAUUGGAACUGGGGCAGAAUUUUGAGGAGGACCCUUAAAAUUCCGAAGUCAGUUUAUCAGUUUUCGCAUCAGCACCAACCCAGUAAACUGGGGCAGAAUUUUGAGAAGGACCCUCAAAAUUCUGGAGCCGAUCCGCAUUCGAUCAUGCAGCACAGCCGUCAACAGCGCUAACCCAGUAAACUGGGGCAGAAUUUUGAGAAGGACCCUCAAAAUUCCGGAGCAAGCAAGGUUGCCGUGUCUUGAACCACGUUGCAGUUUUUGGUUCAUCCCAAAAUAAAAUUAUUCUUUUUACCUAUAUAUACAUGCAGUUGCAUUAUAUUCACUAAGUCAUGCACGAAUAUCAUUUGGAUAGCAUCGUUUAGCAACGCUACCCCAAUUAUAUGCAAACGCCAAGAGUUGGAGGAUACGAACUAACCUUCCCCCUAUAAAACUCACAAUUUUUCUUUGGAUGCAGGAAUUCAGGCAACGAAUCAAAGUAUAUUUGCUCUUCAGAAUUAAAAACCCUCCAGAGGGUCGCUAUCCGCACUCGACACUCCCCAACAGUCUUAAUAUCGCAAACCGCCCACCAGAAUUCAGGCCGCAAAAGCAAAAUGCACCCACUCUUCAGAGUCGAAACUCUCAAAGCAAUCACUCAUUCCACAAAGUCUACUACCUACACCCAACAUUCCCCAGCAGUCACGAUAUCGUAACCACCUAUCAGCUAAGAAAAUUACUACUAUUUUCCCAUUUGCAUUCCGGCACUGCAUAAGGCUACUUUCUGCCUUUCGAGACUAAGCUCUGUCUCCAUCUGCAUCUUGCAUAAGGCUACUCUCUGCCUUCCGAGGUUAAGCUCUACCUCCAUCCUGCAUAAGGCUACUUUCUGCCUUUCGAGACUAAGCUCUGUCUCCACCUGCAUUUUUUCGCACAGGGCUAUUCUCUGCCUUCCGAGGUUAAGCUCUACCUCCCUAUUGCAUAAGGCCACUUUUCGGCCUUCUGAGGUUAAGCUCUACCUCCAUCUUGCCUAAUGCUACUUAUCUGCCUUUCGAGACUAAGCUCUGUCUCCAUCCGCAUUGCAUAAGGCUAUCUUCUGCCUUCCGAGGUUAAGCUCUACCUCCAUAUUGCAUAAGACUAUAUAUCUGCCUUUCGAGACUGAGCUCUGUCUCCAUCAUACAUGGCUGAAAUAUCACCACUUUAUUUAAAUUCUUGCUUCGGCUGAAAUAUCGCUACCUGCAUUUUAAAUUCUCGCUCUGGCUGAAAGAUCACCACCCUUGCAUUCAUUUGGCUGAAAGAUUGCCACCUUCUCAUGGGCUAAAAAAUCGCCAACUUAUUCAAAGGCGUCAUAGUUCGGAGGCACCAUCUGCAUAGCCCGAGAACACAAUUUCAUGGCCUGUGAAUCUUUAUUUUUAUGCUCUUCAUGGCCCAGGACAUCAUAGUCUGAGGACGUCAUCCUUACCGUCCGAAGACAAACAUUCAUGGUCCAACGGGAAUUUGCAUCACGUUUAAAUUACGCAAUAUAUACGCACAUCGCCCAUUUGCAAGUACUCUGGCUGACUCGCGGCCGUCUCAGCAGGAGCGACCCCGCUCCAAUUCUCCGCAUCCUGUUCGAUCCCAAACCUCCUCUCAAAUCUGACCAUCACGUCCAUCUUUUCAAAUUUCCAUCGGCAUAUUCCGCCAGUGGUUCCUGAACUACAUAUGGCCUGAUUCCUGUAAAACCAGAGAUAUGUAGGCAGCUCAGAAACUAGAGCACGGUCAAAAUUCUUCCACGAUCGACGCUUUCGAUCAAAAUUGGUCAUCUUAUCUUUACCCGACAACUCUUUCAUCCUCCUCGGGUAAAAAGGGGCAGCUGUUGAUACCCAAUUUUUCCCUAUAUAUUUUAUACUCAAAAUACUUUCAAAAUAACAUAUUUAUGCAUAUAUAAGCAUGCCCAAAGGCUUUGGUAUUUUCCCCAAAUUUGUACAGAUUUUUAAAAACCAAUUUAUGGCCUAUUUUGCACUAUAAAAUCCAAUAAUUAUUCCCAAAACCUAUCAUUUUGCUGAAUAAUUUAUUUUAUUCUCACAUUUACAUCAAAAUAUAAUUUACAUGAUUUUUGUAUAAUUUUACAAGUCCAUUUGUUAUUUUUAAACUAAAAUUGCAUGAAAUUGCAAUUUUAGCCUAUUUCUAGAUUUAAUAGUAAGUUUAAUUUCAAAAUCAAUACUAAUAUUUUUAAAUUAAUACUUACAUAUUGUUUACUAACCCAGUGCCUUUAAUUUGAUUUUUAACAUCUUUUACUAUUUUUUAAAAUUCAAAAGAGAAAAAUGGCUAUUUCAAUUUUGGCCUCAAUUGCUUUCAAUUAUAGCCCAAUUUUGGACCCUUAAUUAACUCCAAUUUCAAACCCUUAAUUGACGACCCAAUUUUAAUUUCAACCCGCCCCAAACCCAUUUGAUCUAACCCGUCCGCUUCCCAUUUUUUUAAUCCUAUCCCUCGUUCCUUCUUUCCUUUUUAAUUCCACCCACACCCCUAACCCUAAUUCAUUAUUCACAAAUGGCUGCCUCCAAAUUCCCUCGUCUCUCAAACUCUCUCUAAAGACCACUCGAAACCCUAGCCUUCUCCACCAGUUUCCACCUUGUUUCACCGGAAUCCAUGGCGUCCCAAGCCCUGGGUAGCCUAUACUCACCCUUAUGUGCCCUCGUACCCCUGUUACUUGAAGAUUCAAGGUUCGAGCUUGAAGGUCUUCGCUCAGAUCUCUGCCGAUUCGAGUGUUACGGCCAUCUCCGGCUCAACUCCGGCAUAUCCAAGCCCUAUGAGUCUAUCUCUGACUCGUUCGACUCGGACCAACCCUUUUCCAGGCCUUUCUCGCUUCUAGGGUUCUUCUGAAACCCUAGCCUUUCGAGGUUUUCCUAUUUUCUCUAGAUCCGUUCUAGAUCUGUGUUUAUUUUAAGGUUUUCAAACGAUUCCUCUAAAUUUCAAAACUGUUCAUCUUCUCUGACUUAGAGUUUUCUUUAAUUUUACUUGUCCUACUGAGAUUCCUAUGUGUUUUUACUGUAUUUUCUCUACUGUGUUUUCAUCUACCAUGCUUUAUUCUACCAUUUAUUUAUGAGUUCUUUUACAGUAUUUUGUUCCCUUAUUAUGUUUUCCGAAAAUGCAAAAAGGUUUUAGUUCCUUUGGGUCUUUUGAACUUACUUCGUUAUUACUUUGCCUGAUUUGUCUGCUUUCGUCUUUACACUUGAUCAAUGGCGGAAACCCUAGAAUUUGGGGGUUUUCAGACCACUUGUGUGUGACUUGUUUGCUUCCCAUGUCUGAACUAAUUUGAUUUCAAAACCCUAUUUCCGAACUCAUCUUUGUUUCUCUAUGUGAUUCUGACUCUUUCUAAUCUUGGCAAGACCUUUUACCUGAUUUUUUGCAUGCCAUCUGAUGAUUCCCCUUACCUAAUAGUUCCCUACUCACUGAUUUGGUUGCAUGACACUUUUCUCUGUUCUGAUUCUAGCCUCGCAUGUUCAAAACUUAUGCACUCUUUAUAUGUAGAUUUUUCCUCUCAGAAUAACCUUUGAUUUGGGGAUUGAUUUCAGUCUGCCAUUGUGUGAACUUGAUUUAUUCCCUCCUUGUCUAAAUUGAACCUUCAUAUUUCAUUAUUUUCUGACUUGGUUCAUUAUUGAUUUCGAAUAUUCGAUUCCCUGAUUUAUUAUGUACUAGUUGAUUUACUUCUUGCCUUAUUUACUUAAACCGUGUGUUUUCAAACUUUCCCUUAUGUAUUUACCCCUUAUUUGCAUGCUGAGCAUGAUAUACUACUUGAUUCCCUUUCUUUAAAUAGCUUCUGCCUUUUUACCGUUCAAAUUUGAACUCCUUAAUUAAAGGAAUUCCCCUCUAUUGAUUGUUUCUGAUUGAUACUUGAUUAUUUUCUUUCCUUGCUUACCUGCCUGGCUUCAAAUAUAAAUACAUACUCUUCUCUUAACACAAGCACAAACUUCUGAAUUAAAAUAAACUACUACUACUCUCUCUACUACUACUCUUUCUACUACUGCUCUCUCUCUACUACUAAGCACCCUGCUCCUCUUCUCUUUGCUGCUGAAACAUUCUUGAGUUCUCAAGUGCUUGCUGAAGGUUUUGAGUCUGCUCCUGCUGACUUUCUGGAUGAUUACUUGCUUCUAUUUGUUCUGCUAUUCUAAAAUUUUCAACUGGUAUGUCUUCCUAGUUAAAUAACAUCACCUACAUUAUGUAUUUACUUCCCUCCUUCUGUUGUGCAUUCUCCAUUACAUACUCAUCCUAGUCUGUCAUGCUUUCUUUCAUUAUGUUCUGCACCUUUAAGGUUGUUACUCUUUCUUGCUUGGCUCAUAUUUUUGUAAACGCUUUCUUAUGUGAUUCCCUAUCCCUUUGACCCCCUUUUUGUGUGUGAGUGCAAUUCUGAGUCAUGGUGGCAUUCUAUUAUUGCCAACCAUGGCUUAGAACCAGGUUCUCUUGAGCCUCUAUUCAAAUCAAUUCCCAUUCCUUUCUCCCCCUUUAUGUGCUGAGCCAUGACUCAAGUCUGGUGGUGUCCUAAUCACCAUCCAGACCCAAGUCUAACUCUCUAAGAGUCUGCUCUUAUUUGUUUGAAUCUAAGCAAGGGGUCAGGGGUGUGCCAGUCUAUACCAUGGCUGGGUACGACCACUUCCUGCUGUGAUUCCUCCCUCACUUUGCACUUACUCCUAGUUCUUAAGUUCUUCCCCCCUUGGGUAAGCCAUGCUUUGGGACUCUGGAGCUCCCUCUGAACUUGGAUGCCUGAGGGCUGGCACUUCCACACUGCACUAUUCUGUUACUAAAUGGUUAUUCAGAGUGUAAGCAUUGCCUGGAGCUCUUGAGGCUCCUUGGAAGUUUGAAACACUUUGAGUAAGAGAAGGCCUUGGAAUCUGGGAUCCGGAUUUGGUGAAACACAUGUAUUGGAUAUUGAGAUUGAAUUAGGCUGCUCGGAUCUAGCUGUAGGCUGUAGUGUAUUUUUGUUUACUUUCCUUCUUCUGGUUCUGUAAUAAUCUUGUAAAAAAAUCUCAGAAAAAAUAUUAGUAAAGGGUAUGAGAGGGGUUUAUAUUUACUUGCAUAUUAUAAAGGGUAGAUACCAUGCCUAUAUGAUCAAUAUUGUUGUUUAAUAACUUAGAUAUCAUGUAUAUAGGUUAAACGUUUCAAUCACCUAGAGACCAUGUCUAUAGGCUUUUGCAUUCCUUUCAUUCAAUCAUCUAGAAAUCAUGUCUAUAAGAUUUAAUAUCGCAAAAUCAGUAGAAAUCCUGCCUAUAG
This 19076-nucleotide long non-coding RNA is filed under the name Nicotiana tabacum (common tobacco). RNAcentral describes it as "long non-coding RNA (NTAB_LNC000488)". Lineage: Eukaryota; Viridiplantae; Streptophyta; Magnoliopsida; Solanales; Solanaceae. The record is from RNAcentral.